RNAcentral lists this long non-coding RNA (1114 nucleotides) under Numida meleagris (helmeted guineafowl). RNAcentral's name for it is "lncRNA (ENSNMEG00000015490.1)". The record is from RNAcentral. Lineage: Eukaryota; Metazoa; Chordata; Aves; Galliformes; Numididae.
GAAAUGUAUGUUAAGUGGAAGCAGGGUUGUGUAGCCUGGUAGGAAUACAGGGCUGUUGUCAGCAUGUGUACAGUUAGGAUUAGGAAAGCCAAGGCACAGAUGGAGUUGAACUUGGCGAGGGAUGUGAAAGAUAACAAGAAGGGGUUCUACAGGUUCACAGGCAGGAGACAGGCCAAGGAGAGUGUUCCCCCUCUGAUAAAAGGAGAGCUGGCUUCCUCAGACUUAGAAAAAGCUGAAGUGCUCAGUGAGAGUUUUGCCUCAGUCUUCAGUGGUGGUCAGUCUUCCCAUGUCUGCCAGGACCCUGAACCUCUAGGUGAGGGUAUGGGGAGUGGAUUCUGUCCCACUGUAACAGUGGAACAAGUCCAAGACCUUCUCAUGCAAUUGAAUGUAUUUAAGUCCAUGGGGCCAGAUGAUAUCCAUCCCAGGGUUCUGAGAGAGAUGGCUGAUGUGGUUGCUGAGCUGCUCUCCAUCAUAUUUGAAAAAUCAUGGCUGUCUGGUGAGGUCCCCAGUGACUGGAGAAAGGGAAACAUUACUCCAAUUUUUAAGAAAGGGAGAAAGGAUGACCCGGGGAACUACAGGCUGGUGAGCCUCAUCUCUGUGCCUGGGAAGAUCAUGGAGCAGAUCCUCCUAGGAGCUAUGUUAAGGCAAGUACGUGACAAGGAGGUGAUCCGAGACAGCCAGCGUGGCUUCACCAAGGGCAGAUCUUGCCUGACCAAUCUGGUGGCCUUCUAUGAUGGAGUGACGGCAUCGGUGGAUGGGGGAAGGGCAACAGAUGUCAUCUUCCUGGACUUCUCCAAAGCCUGUGACAUGGUCCCUUACAGCAUCCUUCUCUCUUCAUUGGAGAGGUAUGGAUUUGAAGGAUGGUGGAUUAAGAAUUGGUUGGCUGAACACAGACAAAGGGUAGUGAUUAAUGGUUCUAUGUCAGUGUGGAGUCUAGUCACAAGUGAUGUCUCCCAAGGCUCAGUCUUGGGACCAGUGCUCUCCAACAUCUUUUUCAAUGACAUAGAGAAUGGAAUUGAGUGCACCCUCAACAAGUUUGCACGUGACACCAAGCUGAGCGGUGCAGUCGAUACAUUGGAAGGAAGGGAAGCCAUCCAGAGGGACCUGAACAGGC